This is a transfer RNA of 88 nucleotides. It matches the Rfam family "tRNA". Rfam says of the family: Transfer RNA (tRNA) molecules are approximately 80 nucleotides in length. Their secondary structure includes four short double-helical elements and three loops (D, anti-codon, and T loops). The record is from Rfam.
GGAGGCGUACUCAAGUGGUUUAAGAGAACGGUCUUGAAAACCGUCAGGCGGCGAAAGCCGUGCGUGGGUUCGAAUCCCACCGCCUCCU